Long non-coding RNA from Cynara cardunculus var. scolymus (artichoke), 623 nucleotides. RefSeq lists it as uncharacterized. NCBI's taxonomy places the organism in Eukaryota, Viridiplantae, Streptophyta, Magnoliopsida, Asterales, Asteraceae. The record is from RefSeq and is a predicted model, not a curated record. The transcript has 3 exons.
ACUUACAUGUAGAAUUGCACCAGAGUUUGAAGUUGUGAGGGGAAGAGAAAUUUGAAGAGGUUCAGUUGCCUCUGCAAAAUCAGCAAAAUCAACUCCUACCUCUCCUACAAAACCCGCUUUCGAGGAUCCCUGUGAGAAUCCUGAAACAACAUUACAACGCCAUCGAAAGCUUCACCGAAGAUGAGACACAAAUUUUGCAGUUAUUUUCUUACCGUUGCCACAUUGAAGUUCCUUCUACAAUUGCAGUUUUCUCUAAUCUGGCUGUGGGCUUCCCAAUAUCUGCUGGGAUCAGAGAUAUCAUCAACCCUUUUCCUUUCAGCUUUGGCACCUGCAAUCAACACACCCAGAGGAUCCAGAAUUCAGAUCUCUCCUGACAGCAUCCCAGAUGGGCUGUCCUCUUGUAGCCUUGGUAUAUAGCUGUCAUAGAUGAAGAACCAUAAAUGCAAGGUAAGAAGCCUUUUUCUUUAUUAGCCUAAAAAAGUUUAAAAAAUUUGGUUCUUGAUUCGAGUUAAAUCAAUCACAAGUUGUACUUUAAUUAGACAACAAGGUAGGUAGCCAUACUAGAAUAUUGUAUUCCUGCAUGACAGAGUAACGUUACAAUCCUCAAAGCCGGUACUCAACUU